This 83-nucleotide transfer RNA is filed under the name Streptococcus pneumoniae. Its description in RNAcentral is "tRNA-Tyr(gta)". It matches the Rfam family "tRNA". Rfam says of the family: Transfer RNA (tRNA) molecules are approximately 80 nucleotides in length. Their secondary structure includes four short double-helical elements and three loops (D, anti-codon, and T loops). Further hydrogen bonds mediate the characteristic L-shaped molecular structure. tRNAs have two regions of fundamental functional importance: the anti-codon, which is responsible for specific mRNA codon recognition, and the 3' end, to which the tRNAs corresponding amino acid is attached (by aminoacyl-tRNA synthetases). tRNAs cope with the degeneracy of the genetic code in two manners: having more than one tRNA (with a specific anti-codon) for a particular amino acid; and 'wobble' base-pairing, i.e. permitting non-standard base-pairing at the 3rd anti-codon position. Lineage: Bacteria; Bacillati; Bacillota; Bacilli; Lactobacillales; Streptococcaceae. The record is from RNAcentral.
UGGAAGGGUAGCGAAGAGGCUAAACGCGGCGGACUGUAAAUCCGCUCCUUCGGGUUCGGGGGUUCGAAUCCCUCUCUCUCCAU